Molecule: long non-coding RNA, 881 nt
Organism: Myotis davidii
Lineage: Eukaryota; Metazoa; Chordata; Mammalia; Chiroptera; Vespertilionidae
Exons: 3
Source: RefSeq, a predicted model, not a curated record
GGAGCGUUGAACAUAUCGUGACAAGUAGUUUCCGCGCGCUGGAGAGCGUGUGAAUUGCGCCUAAUUACCGUGUCGGGUGGCGCCUCUACGUAGACCUGUGUAACCCCUCAGUUUCUGGGGUGCGGGCUCUGCCGCGCCGCUCUCCCUGGCCGGGGGCGCGAGGCAAGACCCACUUUCCCAAGUGGCCCUGGCGGCCCGGGGCGAGAUGGGGGCAGGUGACAUUUCAAUUACCGCGAUCGGGGCGGGGUUGCAACGCGCGCGGAGAAGGUGCCGAGACUCUUUUCCGGCUUCCUUCCGGCGGUUUCCGCGUCCCCAGUCCGAUGCAUUUGGGGUGGUCAGGAGCCUGUUUGGAUUUUUUCUGCUGCAGCCUUUAAAGCGCAAAUUGUUUAAAAUGUUCUGAUACGAUAAGGCCUCACAAAGAUCCUCUUGGAAGCCGGACGCGCACCCAUGUGUCCAUCCUUCGGCCCAGAGACAAGGUCGCCGCAGCCCCCAGGAGUAGUUUUAACUUCUGCCUCACUCUGCCGUCCUCACGUCAGGGCCCUGCGUUGCAGCUCAGUCUGCAGAGAGCAAUGAAAAUUCGCUUAAUUAGCCAGACAAGUGCGUCUUCCCAUUGUUCUCCCUCUGCUCCAGACCACGCGUUUCCCGCUGUGCUUUCGAACUCACAGGGCCACGGGGUUCUGGCCGAAGCCACCGGGGCGUGGACCGACUGGGCGUGCACACUCGGCUCAGGCGCCUCAGGACGCAGCCGCUUCCACUUAGCAUGGCUACUGGGUGGCGCCCUACCUGCCCAGCCGCCUCUGAGGUCUAGGGCUGGGGAUCUCAGAGAAAGGCGCGGGCGCGAGGAGCCUGGCCCCACUGCAGACCCAGGAGCCGCUGGCGAG